CGUUACCGUGUCGUCUCAGAAGGUUUUCAGCAACAAUCACGUCUGUGGUGACGUCGAUGGCUUUGCGUUUCAGAUUGGAGAGCUUAACCACACGUGCCUGGACCUUGGUAUCACUGUCCUCGUCACUGUCGACAUCGUCACUGUCUUCGCUGUCAUCGUCCCGGUAGUAGUGGUAAUAACCACCACCUGGGUUUAGGUUGCUCAGGGUUGUUAGCCUCUCAGCCUGUUGCUACACAGACAACAUAAGGCUCUGAACAGCAUACAGACCAUGCUGGAGGCUCGGCUCAUAAGCUGCGCACUUUGUAAGUAUACGGGAAAGCACGUUGGUAUCGUGAACCAGACAUCAAACGCUUGAUAGUCCAGACACCUUGGGCUAUCCGAUAGGACCGUGCAGGGAGAUGACGAGAGCUACUACGAGCGGGUCCAGAGAGCAUCUUUUCCGUUGCGAGAAGGAGCUUGCCGAAGCCGCUCUGGAAGACAGAGGGAGCUCCUACGUAUUAGACAUCUUCAGAAAACGUGAGUCAUCGUGAAAGGGUUCAGUGUGACAAUGUCGACUACGAGCGUUACGGGUUGAUCCCUAUCCAUCGGGACGUCAACUCCUCGGCUUACAGCCAGAGAGGGAAAAUCACUUUCAUCUGGAGAAGCUCGUCCGUUAACACGGGGCGGCCCAUCUGCAGGUCCCCGCUGUUCCUAAAAGAAAGAUUAAGGAUUUGAGUUGGCCUGACGGAGAGAUCUUCCAGGCGACUCCGGCCCAUGGAGGAGGCAGAGCAUCACAUCAGAUCAAACAUUGAUAAACCAGUACUUUACCAGCGUUUUAUCAAUAUCUU
Molecule: long non-coding RNA, 827 nt
Organism: Salvelinus fontinalis (brook trout)
Lineage: Eukaryota; Metazoa; Chordata; Actinopteri; Salmoniformes; Salmonidae
Exons: 3
Source: RefSeq, a predicted model, not a curated record